UCAAGAUGCUCAGAAAUGUCUUUCACAGA
RNAcentral lists this non-coding RNA (29 nucleotides) under Rattus norvegicus (Norway rat). Lineage: Eukaryota; Metazoa; Chordata; Mammalia; Rodentia; Muridae. The record is from RNAcentral.